Molecule: ribosomal RNA, 268 nt
Filed under: Tomentella sublilacina
Lineage: Eukaryota; Fungi; Basidiomycota; Agaricomycetes; Thelephorales; Thelephoraceae
Description: partial 28S ribosomal RNA
Rfam family: Eukaryotic large subunit ribosomal RNA
Source: RNAcentral
UCGAUCUCAAAUCAGGUAGGACUACCCGCUGAACUUAAGCAUAUCAAUAAGCGGAGGAAAAGAAACUAACAAGGAUUCCCCUAGUAACUGCGAGUGUAGCGGGAAGAGCUCAAAUUUAAAAUCUGGCGUGCCUCUGGUCGUCCGAGUUGUAGUCUAGAGAAGUGUUUUCCGUGUUGGACCGUGUAUAAGUCUCUUGGAACAGAGCGUCGUAGAGGGUGAGAAUCCCGUCUUUGACACGGACUACGUCAAGUUGUUUGGGAAUGCACUC